Molecule: ribosomal RNA, 547 nt
Filed under: uncultured bacterium
Lineage: Bacteria
Description: partial 16S ribosomal RNA
Rfam family: Bacterial small subunit ribosomal RNA
Source: RNAcentral
UGGGGAAUUUUGGACAAUGGGCGCAAGCCUGAUCCAGCCAUGCCGCGUGCGGGAAGAAGGCCUUCGGGUUGUAAACCGCUUUUGUCAGGGAAGAAAUCUUCUGAGUUAAUACCUCGGGAGGAUGACGGUACCUGAAGAAUAAGCACCGGCUAACUACGUGCCAGCAGCCGCGGUAAUACGUAGGGUGCAAGCGUUAAUCGGAAUUACUGGGCGUAAAGCGUGCGCAGGCGGUUUUGUAAGACAGAGGUGAAAUCCCCGGGCUCAACCUGGGAACUGCCUUUGUGACUGCAAGGCUUGAGUCGGCGAGAGGGGGAUGGAAUUCCGCGUGUAGCAGUGAAAUGCGUAGAUAUGCGGAGGAACACCGAUGGCGAAGGCAAUCCCCUGGGCCUGCACUGACGCUCAUGCACGAAAGCGUGGGGAGCAAACAGGAUUAGAUACCCUGGUAGUCCACGCCCUAAACGAUGUCAACUGGUUGUUGGGAAGGUUCCUUCUCAGUAACGUAGCUAACGCGUGAAGUUGACCGCCUGGGGAGUACGGCCGCAAGGUU